Molecule: ribosomal RNA, 341 nt
Filed under: uncultured bacterium
Lineage: Bacteria
Description: bacterial SSU rRNA
Rfam family: Bacterial small subunit ribosomal RNA
Source: RNAcentral
UCCACGCCCUAAACGAUGAUUACUCGCUGUUGGCAAUAUAUCGUCAGCGGCUAAGCGAAAGCAUUAAGUAAUCCACCUGGGGAGUACGAUCGCAAGGUUGAAACUCAAAGGAAUUGACGGGGGCCCGCACAAGCGGAGGAACAUGUAGUUUAAUUCGAUGAUACGCGAGGAACCUUACCUGGGCUUAAAUGUAGGACGAUCGUUGCCGAAAGGUGGCUUUCCUUCGGGACGGACUACAAGGUGCUGCAUGGUUGUCGUCAGCUCGUGCCGUGAGGUGUCGGGUUAAGUCCCAUAACGAGCGCAACCCUCAUCGUUAGUUGUCAGCGAGUCAUGUCGGAUAC